UACGUAGGGUGCGAGCGUUGUCCGGAAUUAUUGGGCGUAAAGAGCUCGUAGGCGGUUUGUCGCGUCGACUGUGAAAACCUACAGCUUAACUGUGGGCUUGCAGUCGAUACGGGCAGACUUGAGUUCGGUAGGGGAGACUGGAAUUCCUAGUGUAGCGGUGAAAUGCGCAGAUAUCAGGAGGAACACCGGUGGCGAAGGCGGGUCUCUGGGCCGAUACUGACGCUGAGGAGCGAAAGCGUGGGGAGCGAACAGG
This 253-nucleotide ribosomal RNA is filed under the name uncultured bacterium. RNAcentral describes it as "partial 16S ribosomal RNA". It matches the Rfam family "Bacterial small subunit ribosomal RNA", at positions 524 to 776 of the family's 1533-position model. The record is from RNAcentral.